GUAGAGUGGAGCUCCACAGGAAACACGUGACCUCUACCGGAAACUACCACUCUGUUAGCGAAAAGAGAGAGUCUGGAGCAAGUCUGCGAAUCUGAAUUAUGGGAAGGUUUUUGCACACUGGACAAAGGAAUCAGAGGCUGUGCUGAAAGGUGAACAUGCACCUGUAUUCAGACUAAGAAAGCGCAAGUCUGUGGAACUCAGUCUGAAGCCAGCAAUCAUCUCUGAUCUACACGUUGCUAUGGAGUGGAUUGAGGGGAAUGAGGCUCUAUUCUGUGGGCAAAUAACCUUUCCCAAAUAUGUGACCAUGACGGAAGAGCACCGCCAGGAGGCCCUAAGGGAUGUGCUGGAUGGAGACAAGAUAGAAUCCAAGGAGCCAUUCCUCUUUGGUUUUCAGAUCCGAGAGGACAUGGAAUUAUUUUUACAGGCCUGUGUUGACCAGCGGGGCCUCCGGGUUAAUGCUGUCUGUUAUGAGAAAGAUUAAAUUACUGGCACAUGA
Paramormyrops kingsleyae is the source of this 496-nucleotide non-coding RNA. The record is from RefSeq and is a predicted model, not a curated record. NCBI's taxonomy places the organism in Eukaryota, Metazoa, Chordata, Actinopteri, Osteoglossiformes, Mormyridae.